UUUAAAAAAAAAUACAGAAGCAAGUUUAUAGGGUCCUCUAGAAGAUCAAAUCGUGCUCUACACAAAAUCCCCCAAUCUCGCCCAACGGAACAGGAACCGCUUCAUCCCGCUAAUACGUUAUCAAAGCGAAGAAAACUAAAACAAACGCAGUGGCUAAGUAGCAGUUACGCAAAAUCCCAAAAAUAUCAUCUCUCUCUUUUCCUUCAUUUGCCCUCGCUUUCUCGGCAAACAAACAUAGCUAUAAAUUAAUAAACAGGUUUAUGAAAAAGUUCAUGAAAUUU
Molecule: unclassified non-coding RNA, 281 nt
Filed under: Hevea brasiliensis (rubber tree)
Lineage: Eukaryota; Viridiplantae; Streptophyta; Magnoliopsida; Malpighiales; Euphorbiaceae
Source: RNAcentral